CUACCAUGCAGUCGUGCGGAGGGGCGAUGAGCCCCUCAGCGGCAAACGGGUGAGUAACACGUGAGUAACCUGCCCCUGGGAAGGGGAUAACCCUCCGAAAGGGGGGCUAAUACCCUAUAUAGCCGGGGACCACUAAGGUCACCCGGUGAAAGGUGGCCUCUGCCCUUCACGGGCAUGCUACCGCCCAGGGAGGGGCUCGCGGCCCAUCAGGUACUUGGUGGGGUAACGGCCUACCAAGCCUAUGACGGGUAGCCGGCCUGAGAGGGUGGCCGGCCACAGUGGGACUGAGACACGGCCCACACCCCUACGGGGGGCAGCAGUGGGGAAUCGUGGGCAAUGGGCGCAAGCCUGACCCCGCGACCCCGCGUGGGGGAUGAAGCCCUUCGGGGUGUAAACCCCUGUCGGGGGGGACGAUGUGUCCUGGGGUGAAUAAUCCCAGGGCAUGACGGUACCCCCAGAGGAAGGGACGGCUAACUACGUGCCAGCAGCCGCGGUAAUACGUAUGUCCCGAGCGUUGCGCGGAUUCACUGGGCGUAUAGCGUCCGCAGCAGGACGGGUAAGCGGUGCGUCACAGCCC
RNAcentral lists this ribosomal RNA (577 nucleotides) under uncultured bacterium. Its description in RNAcentral is "bacterial SSU rRNA". It matches the Rfam family "Bacterial small subunit ribosomal RNA", at positions 49 to 603 of the family's 1533-position model. The record is from RNAcentral.